GCGCAUAUACGGACAGAAUUACAAAAUAACUAGACCUAUUCUCCUUCCUUCAGACUAAAUUUCUUUCGGAAGAGUCUACGUGUGAGGUGGAUUUGGACUGGUUCUCUCAGCUGGAUUGAGGCGUGCUGUAUGGACGGAUUCAUUUUAAAAAAGGUAUGAUGACUUUAGACAUACCUUUUUUAUUAGAAUUUGACCUUACCGUAGAAGUUAAAAUCAUCGUCAAUUAUUAAAUUAAAGGGUAAUUUACGAUUUAGUCCCUGGGUAUUACCAUUAUUAACAAGUCAGUCCCUGUAUUUUUAGAAACCUAUUAAAAUGUCCUUAUGUUUUCUCUCCGUCAACGAAAUAGUCCUUCUGUCUAUUUUUGCCGUUAAAAAUAUAGUAAAAGACUAUAUUACCCCCCAUUAUUUUUCUUCUUCUCCUCCUCCUUCCUUUUCUUCUUCAUCAAUUCUUCUUCCUUCUGCUUCUUCUUCUUCUGCUUCUUCUCCUUCUUCUUCUGCUUCUUCUCCUUCUUCUUCUUUUGCUUCUUUUUCUUCUUUCUCUUCUUCUUCUU
This 550-nucleotide long non-coding RNA is filed under the name Manihot esculenta (cassava). RNAcentral describes it as "long non-coding RNA (MESC_LNC008693)". Lineage: Eukaryota; Viridiplantae; Streptophyta; Magnoliopsida; Malpighiales; Euphorbiaceae. The record is from RNAcentral.